RNAcentral lists this non-coding RNA (223 nucleotides) under Marchantia polymorpha subsp. ruderalis. RNAcentral's name for it is "Bacterial small subunit ribosomal RNA". It matches the Rfam family "Bacterial small subunit ribosomal RNA", at positions 755 to 869 of the family's 1533-position model. Lineage: Eukaryota; Viridiplantae; Streptophyta; Marchantiopsida; Marchantiales; Marchantiaceae. The record is from Rfam by way of RNAcentral.
GAAAGCAUGGGGAGCAAACAGGAUUAGAUACCCUGGUAGUCCAUGCUGUAAACGAUGAGUGUUCGUUCUUGGUCUACUGAUAUCGCACUCUUUUGGGCUGACUUAAGCUCGGCUUAAUGCUUAAAUUACUGCAAAGGUAGUGUGACUCGAUUGUUUUCUUCAAGUUCCAACAAUCGUGAAAAAUAUGUGAUGAUCAGGGGCUGAGCUAACGCGUUUGUUCCUU